RNAcentral lists this long non-coding RNA (592 nucleotides) under Capsicum annuum. Its description in RNAcentral is "long non-coding RNA (CANN_LNC002429)". Lineage: Eukaryota; Viridiplantae; Streptophyta; Magnoliopsida; Solanales; Solanaceae. The record is from RNAcentral.
UGAAGAUCUGGAAGUUUCUAGAUGAUCGCGAGAAGUUUGUGGAAAUGAAAUUGAAGCAUCACCAUGACCAGGACAAUGAUCAUCAACAGAUGAAGAUCUCGAAGUUUCUAGAAGAUCGCGAGAAGUUUGGAGAAAUGAAAUUGAAGCAUCACCAUCACCAUCACCAUGACCAUCACCAUGACCACGACAACGAAGACAAUGAUCAUGAACAGUGGAAGAUGUGGAAGUUUCUAGAUGAUCGCGAGAAGUUUGGGGAAAUGAAAUUGAAGCACCACCAUCACCAUGACGAUGACGAGGACGACGAAGACAAUGAUCAUGAACAGAAGAAGAUCUCGAAGUUUCAAUUGGCGCGUGAAAAUGGAGGUAAUUUUGGUGAAAUGAAAUCGAAAAGUGAUGAUGAUGAGGCUGAGAAAAGAUCAAAGCUUUAUGGAAAGCACUAUGAGAUGACAUUGAGGAAGCGUUUUCGUUAUAAUGCUGGUGAAGAAGAAGAUGAGAAAGCUAAGGAAGAGACGAAAUGGCAUAAGAAGGAGAAGAAGAAAGGUGGAUUCAUGAGCGGUAUUCGUAAGUUCUUGCAUCACUACUUUGAUUGAAG